RNAcentral lists this ribosomal RNA (459 nucleotides) under uncultured bacterium. Its description in RNAcentral is "partial 16S ribosomal RNA". It matches the Rfam family "Bacterial small subunit ribosomal RNA", at positions 338 to 795 of the family's 1533-position model. The record is from RNAcentral.
CCUACGGGCGGCAGCAGUGAGGAAUAUUGGUCAAUGGGCGGGAGCCUGAACCAACCAAGUCGCGUGAGGGACGACGGUCCUAUGGAUUGUAAACCUCUUUUGUCGGGGAACAAAGGCGUCCACGGGUGGGCGGAUGAGUGUACCCGAAGAAAAAGCAUCGGGAAACCCCGUGCAAGCAGCCGCGGUAAUACGGGGGAUGAGAGCGUUAUCCGGAUUUAUUGGGUGAAAAGGGUGCGUAGGCGGACAGUCAAGUCAGCGGUAAACAUGCGGUGCUCAACGCCGUACAGCCGUUGAAACUGGCAGUCUUGAGUGGGCGAGAGGUAUGCGGAAUGCGUGGUGUAGCGGUGAAAUGCGUAGAUAUCACGCAGAACUCCGAUUGCGAAGGCAGCUUACCGGCGCCCUACUGACGCUGAGGCACGAAAGCGUGGGUAUCGAACAGGAUUAGAUACCCGUGUAGUC